AUUCAGCUGACGAGUUCUAAAUAAGAUGAAACAUGCGUCCUAGAU
This 45-nucleotide non-coding RNA is filed under the name Schistosoma margrebowiei. Lineage: Eukaryota; Metazoa; Platyhelminthes; Trematoda; Strigeidida; Schistosomatidae. The record is from RNAcentral.